This 195-nucleotide non-coding RNA is filed under the name Mucilaginibacter sp. Lineage: Bacteria; Pseudomonadati; Bacteroidota; Sphingobacteriia; Sphingobacteriales; Sphingobacteriaceae. The record is from RNAcentral.
CUUUAUUUUCAACAGUGUGGUUUCCGGGUAAUACCGGGAUUAAUAAGGAACCGUGUGCAAAUCACGGGCUGUCGCGCAACUGUAAGUAACAAAAAGGUUGUUGCCUUUACUUGUCCAUUGUACCCCCUCAAGCGGUAUGAGAAGGACGGCAACAAUGUUACAAGCCAGGAUACUUGCCAACUGUUUAAGACAAUG